This 1048-nucleotide long non-coding RNA is filed under the name Numida meleagris (helmeted guineafowl). RNAcentral's name for it is "lncRNA (ENSNMEG00000015145.1)". The record is from RNAcentral. Lineage: Eukaryota; Metazoa; Chordata; Aves; Galliformes; Numididae.
GACCGACAUGAUGGAUUUGCAAAUAGCUAUGGAAAAAAGGAACCCGCAAGCUUCAUUGGCAAAGCCAAUAGUGCUUGUUAGGUGCAUCAGGUGAGUGAGGAGGGAGUUACAGUGCCUGUGGACACAGAAGGUAUGGGAACAACUCCAAGGUGAGGAAAGCUAUCUUGCAAAAAGAGCAAAUGCACAAUGAGUGCAUGCAGCAACUUAAGCAAGAAGUAUAAAAAAACAGAUAAAACAUGCCUAAAGACCUGGUUGAAACUCACCUUUGUGCUGAGGACUGUUAUUCAGCCUGCAGAACAUUUAAGUCACAUUUAUGGUCUUAAAAUAGGGUUUAAGUAGGACAUCAAUGUUCAUAACCUUGUAUCGGCCACAGCACAGCGAUGUUUUCAGCUCAAAUGAACAUCAUAUUCUUGCUUCAGCUAGAUGAGUGCUCUUGGCAUUGAGCCUUGAUCAAGGCUUGCAAGUGUGCACAACUUACAGCCAGCACUCAGGAACCUGAGACUGCCUUUGCAUAGACGAAACAGAAAGCACAAGUGCCCUCUCCCAAUCAAGAACAUCCUUUGUGGCUCUCCGGCACAAACGCAGAUUGGACAUGCAGUUCUGCCCUUGUUUUCUCCUGCUUCCUUCCUCUCUCUACACAACGAGAUGCCCUGUGACAGCUCAUGGGUGUCUGCCCUGGUCACAGCCCUCAGCCCUGUGCCAGGUCUCGCAGAGGGAAGGUGGGAAGGCACAGUGAGCAAUUACCUACUGCCUGUCAGGGUAGGUAUGGGAGGAAAAACUUUGCUUUUACCGUUCAAUUUCUAAAUGCAGAACAAAGCUGAAGGGGCAAAACCAAUGCCAGUUAAUUCCAAGAUGUUAGGUGUUAUGUGGAGUGAUUCACUCAUAUGGAAAAACUGGCAGGAAGAUAGCACAGAGAAAGAGCAAGCACUCAGGAGUUCCCCAGGGAAAUGCAAGGCAUAAUUUGGCCAGUAAAUAUUUAAAGAAAUAUUUGGGGUGUGUAAGUACUGUGUCCAGACAUGUUGUUUUCAAUAACAGAAGAAUCUCCUUU